AGUUAGUGGCGGACGGGUGAGUAACACGUGGGCAACUGCCUGUAAUUGGGGAUAACUCCGGGAAACCGGGGCUAAUACCGAAUGAUAAAGUGUGGCGCAUGCCACGCUUUUGAAAGAUGGUUUCGGCUAUCGCUUACAGAUGGGCCCUCGGUGCAUUAGCUAGUUGGUAGGGUAAUGGCCUACCAAGGCAACGAUGCAUAGCCGACCUGAGAGGGUGAUCGGCCACACUGGGACUGAUACACGGCCCAGACUCCUACGGGAGGCAGCAGUAGGGAAUCUUCCGCAAUGGACGAAAGUCUGACGGAGCAACGCCGCGUGUAUGAAGAAGGUUUUCGGAUCGUACUUACUGUUGUUAGAGAAGAACAAGGAUAAGARUAACUGCUUGUCCCUUGACGGUAUCUAACCAGAAAGCCACGGGUAACUACGUGCCAGCAGCCUGGGUAAGACGUAGGUGGCAAGCGUUGUCCGGAUUUAUUGGGCGUAAAGCGCGCGCAGGCGGUCUUUUAAGUCUGAUGUGAAAGCCCCCGGCUUAACCGGGGAGGGUCAUUGGAAACUGGAAGACUGGAGUGCAAAGAGGAGAGUGGAAUUCCACGUGUAGCGGUGAAAUGCGUAGAUAUGUGGAGGAACACCAGUGGCGAAGGCGACUCUCUGGUCUGUAACUGACGCUGAGGCGCGAAAGCGUGGGGAGCAAACAGGAUUAGAUACCCUGGUAGUCCACGCCGUAAACGAUGAGUGCUAAGUGUUAGGGGGUUUCCGCCCCUUAGUGCUGCAGCUAACGGCAUUUAGCACUUCCCCCCCUGGGGGAGUACGACCGCAAGGUUUGAAACCUCAAAGGAAAUUG
Molecule: ribosomal RNA, 841 nt
Filed under: Listeria monocytogenes
Lineage: Bacteria; Bacillati; Bacillota; Bacilli; Caryophanales; Listeriaceae
Description: bacterial SSU rRNA
Rfam family: Bacterial small subunit ribosomal RNA
Source: RNAcentral